CAUAAUCAAAAACAAAACGAACAUAAUUAUAACAAUAAUUUCAUACAAAUUAAUUCUAUGAAUAGUGUAAAUAAUAAUACCACUCAUACAACCUCAUGUAAUAGUACUAUGUUUAAAUUAACUUAUAACAGUAACGAUCGCAACAAUAGUACAUAUACUAAUAUAAGUACCAGUACUAGUAGUAAUAGUAGUAAUAGUAUUAGUAGUUGUAAUAGUAUUAAUAGUUGUAGUAACAUUAGUAGUAGUAGCAUUAGUAGUAAUAACUAUGGUGAUGCAUUAGAACAAAAACUUUAUAUUUUUAAGCAAACAAACCCUAUACUAUGUGGUACAUAUAUUGAUACCAGUUUAAAUGACAUUAAUAUGAGGUUUGAAAAAAGAUCAGAUAUGGUACAAUCUGAAAUUAAUAAAAAUCAAAAUAACAAUCUCACUAGUGACACAUCAGUUAUAGCUACAAGUACUGCUAGUAGUGGGACUUGGGAUAAUAUAUCUACAAGUACUAUUAGCGACUAUUCUUACAAAAAAAACAGUUUUAAAAAAAUUGAUCCCAAAUGCAUAAACAAAAUUAAUAACAAAAUUAAUAACAUAAAAAAUAACAAAUAUAUUUUAAAAAAAAAUUGGAACUAAACACCCCAUAUUCCUUCCCACCAUUACAAGAACAACUACAAUUUUAUUUGAAAAAACGAAAAAGAAAAUUAAAAAAAAAAAUCAUGUUUAGCUACAUCAAAACACAAUCGUGUAUAAAAUCAACUUUAACUGAUCGCAAAAACGUUCGGCUCAAUGUUUAUAGAUUGAUGAAAAUUAUAACAGACAUUACUAUGGCUUGCUCUUAUUUGGAUAAACAAAAGAUAAGACCAAUUAACUUAAAACCAACGAACGUACUACUUGACGACUCUUUAAAUGCAAAAAUAUCAGACUUUGGUAUAAGUGAAAUAGAAAAAUGUCUUGAUACAAAUAUUGCUUAUUCGUAUGUUGUAACAUCAAAUAAUGUUAUAAAAGUUAACAAGAACUUAGAAAAACAGAAAAUAAAUAAAAUGAAAUUAAUUAAUAAAAAUCCUAACUAUUCAUUACUUGUAUAUAAUAAUAAUAAUAACAAAGUGAGAAAAUAUAACACAAAUGAAAUUUAUGCUGCGUCAAGUAAUAAUUACGAAUCAGUUUAUUUUUGGACACCCCCAGAAAUAAUGAGGGGACAUAAAAACACAAGUUCAUAUUCUGAUGUAUACACUCUGGGAAUCAUAUUGUGGGAAAUGCUAGCUAAUACCAUCCCAUAUAAUUAUGCGUUUAAAUCUCACCUAGUGGCUUCGGUAGGGUAUGCUAAAGAAAAAUUGCUCUUUACCAACAUUCCUGUUCCUAUCCAAGGUUUAAUAAAAAGCUGUAUCAACAGAAAUAAAUACAAACGACCUACUUUUAACCAAAUUUUGCUUAAAUUGUCAACGUUAUAUGAAAAGAUGAACACGAAGGAAGAAGAUGCUUUGAUUUCGUUUAUGGGAUAAUAGUACUACUAAUAAAUAAAAAAAUAACAACUUCA
RNAcentral lists this long non-coding RNA (1525 nucleotides) under Piliocolobus tephrosceles (Ugandan red Colobus). RNAcentral's name for it is "lncRNA (ENSPTEG00000007300.1)". Lineage: Eukaryota; Metazoa; Chordata; Mammalia; Primates; Cercopithecidae. The record is from RNAcentral.